RNAcentral lists this ribosomal RNA (406 nucleotides) under uncultured bacterium. RNAcentral describes it as "partial 16S ribosomal RNA". It matches the Rfam family "Bacterial small subunit ribosomal RNA", at positions 30 to 526 of the family's 1533-position model. The record is from RNAcentral.
AUUGAACGCUGGCGGCAGGCCUAACACAUGCAAGUCGAGCGAGCGGCGGACGGGUGAGUAAUGUCUGGGAAACCGCCUGAUGGAGGGGGAUAAAUACUGGAAACGGUAGCUAAUACCGCAUACCAUCAGAUGUGCCCAGAUUGGAUUAGCUAGUGGGUGGGGUAAUGGCUCACCUAGGCGACGAUCCCUAGCUGGUCGGAGAGGAUGACACGCCACACUGUGACUGAGACACGGUCCAGACUCCUACGGGAGGCAGCAGUGGGGAAUAUUGGACAAUGGGCGCAAGCCUGAUGCAGCCAUGCCGCGUGUGUGAAGAAGGCCUUCGGGUUGUAAAGCACUUUCAGCGGGGAGGCGUUACCCUCAGAAGAAGCACCGGCUAACUCCGUGCCAGCAGCCGCGGUAAUUC